This is a long non-coding RNA of Oncorhynchus masou masou (cherry salmon), 2632 nucleotides long. RefSeq lists it as uncharacterized. NCBI's taxonomy places the organism in Eukaryota, Metazoa, Chordata, Actinopteri, Salmoniformes, Salmonidae. The record is from RefSeq and is a predicted model, not a curated record. The transcript has 3 exons.
CAGUCGGACCCUCUGCUACUCCCUCGGGGAGACAGUCGGACCCUCUGCUACUCCCUCGGGGAGACAGUCGGACCCUCUGCUACUCCCUCGGGGAGACAGUCGGACCCUCUGCUACUCCCUCGGGGAGACAGUCGGACCCUCUGCUACUCCCUCGGGGAGACAGUCGGACCCUCUGCUACUCCCUCGGGGAGACAGUCGGACCCUCUGCUACUCCCUCGGGAGACAGUCGGACCCUCUGCUACUCCCUCGGGGAGACAGUCGGACCCUCUGCUACUCCCUCGGAGACAGUCGGACCCUCUGCUACUCCCUCGGAGACAGUCGGACCCUCUGCUACUCCCUCGGAGACAGUCGGACCCUCUGCUACUCCCUCAGCGUGGUAAAGUAACCUUGUUAAAAGGUAGAGGUUCUCUCAGGGCUGUGGAAGGUAAUCAGAUAGUUGAAGUCUGGAGGGAGUCUGACUGUUUGGGACGGUAGUCUGGAGGGACUGUUUGGGACGGUAGUCUGGAGGGACUGUUUGGGACGGUAGUCUGGAGGGACUGUUUGGGACGGUAGUCUGGAGGGACUGUUUGGGACGGUAGUCUGGAGGGACUGUUUGGGACGGUAGUCUGGAGGGACUGUUUGGGACGGUAGUCUGGAGGGACUGUUUGGGACGGUAGUCUGGAGGGAGUCGGACUGUUUGGGACGGUAGUCUGGAGGGACUGUUUGGGACGGUAGUCUGGAGGGACUGUUUGGGACGGUAGUCUGGAUGGAGUCGGACUGUUUGGGAUGGUAUAUAGUAGUGGGGAGGGGCACUCUGCCGGUUCUCUUGUUUCUCUUCUGUCUCUCUCUCAACCAGUCUGUAAACCCACAACCAGUCUGUAAACCCACAACAUAUAAAACCAGAAUAUUUCUGUUUGCCCCAAUUUUGAUUAAACAGCUUUGGUCCAUUUUUGGUCUAUUUGUCCUCCAUACUGCUGUCCCCUACCCUAGUGUUAGAGGAGGUCCUAGUCUGUCCCCUACCCUAGUGUUAGAGGAGGUCCUAGUCUGUCCCCUACCCUAGUGUUAGAGGAGGUCCUAGUCUGUCUCCUACCCUAGUGUUAGAGGAGGUCCUAGUCUGUCUCCUACCCUAGUGUUAGAGGAGGUCCUAGUCUGUCUCCACCAUACUGCUGUCCCCUACCCUAGUGUUAGAGGAGGUCCUCGUCUGUCCCCUACCCUAGUGUUAGAGGAGGUCCUAGUCUGUCCCCUACCCUAGUGUUAGAGGAGGUCCUAGUCUGUCUCCUACCCUAGUGUUAGAGGAGGUCCUAGUCUGUCUCCACCAUACUGCUGUCCCCUACCCUAGUGUUAGAGGAGGUCCUAGUCUGUCUCCUACCCUAGUGUUAGAGGAGGUCCUAGUCUGUCUCCUACCCUAGUGUUAGAGGAGGUCCUAGUCUGUCCCCUACCCUAGUGUUAGAGGAGGUCCUAGUCUGUCCCCUACCCUAGUGUUAGAGGAGGUCCUAGUCUGUCCCCUACCCUAGUGUUAGAGGAGGUCCUAGUCUGUCCCCUACCCUAGUGUUAGAGGAGGUCCUAGUCUGUCCCCUACCCUAGUGUUAGAGGAGGUCCUAGUCUGUCCCCUACCCUAGUGUUAGAGGAGGUCCUAGUCUGUCCCCUACCCUAGUGUUAGAGGAGGUCCUAGUCUGUCCCCUACCCUAGUGUUAGAGGAGGUCCUAGUCUGUCCCCUACCCUAGUGUUAGAGGAGGUCCUAGUCUGUCCCCUACCCUAGUGUUAGAGGAGGUCCUAGUCUCCACCAUACUGCUGUCCCCUACCCUAGUGGAGUGGCUUCUGUGCAGGGAUGGUUAUCCUUCUGGAAGGUCCUCCCAUCUCCACAGACGAACUCUGGAGUUCUUUCAGAGUGACCAUUGGGUUCUUGGUCACCUCCCUGACCAAGGUCCUUCUCCCCCGAUUGCUCAGUUGGCCGGGCGGCCAGCUCUAGGAAGAGUCUUGGUGGUUCCAAACUUCUUCCAUUUCAGAAUGAUGGAGGCCACUGUGUUCUUGGGGACCAUCAAUACGGCAGAAAUGUUUUGGUUCCUUCCCCAGAUCUGUGCCUCAAGACUAUCCUGUCUCGGAGCUCUACGGACAAUUCAUUCAACCUCAUGGCUUGGUUUUUUCUCUGACAUACUCUGUGGGACCUUAUAUAGACAGGUGUGUGCCUUUCCAAAUCAUGUCAAAUCAAUUGAAUUUAUCACAGGUGGACUCCAAUCAAGUUGUAGAAACAUCUCAAGGAUGAUCAGUGGAAACAGGAAGCACCUGACCUCAAUUUUGAGUCUCAAACAAAGGGUCUGAAUAUUUACGUACAUUUUUUUUAAUGGACGUAACACAACAGAAGGGGGACCUUUUUAGAUGUAACACAACAGAAGGGGGGACCUGUAUAGACAUAACACAACAGAAGGGGGGACCUUAAUGGACGUAACACACCAGAAGGGGGACCUUUUUAGAUGUAACACAACAGAAGGGGGACCUUUAUAGACGUAACACAACAGAAGGGGGACCUUUUUAGAUGUAACACAACAGAAGGGGGGACCUUUGUAGACGUAACACACCAGAGGGGGGGACCUUUAUAGACGUAACACACCAGAAGGGGGGACCUUAAUGGACGUAACACAACAGAAGGGGGGAC